CGCUAAUCCUGGUCGGACAUCUGGAGGUUAGUGUAUUGGCAUAAGCCAGCUUGCCUGCGCGCGUGUUGGCGCGAGUAGGUGCGAAAGUAGGUCAUAGCGCUCCGGAGGUCCCGAAUGGAAGGGCCGUCGCUCAACGGAUAAAAGGUACUCCUGGGAUAACAGGCUGAUACCGCCCAAGAGUUCAUAUCGACGCCGGUGUUUGUCUCCUCCAUCUCGGCUCAUCACAUCCUGUUUCCGGAGGAGGUCCCCAG
This 251-nucleotide ribosomal RNA is filed under the name Escherichia coli. RNAcentral's name for it is "partial 23S ribosomal RNA". It matches the Rfam family "Bacterial large subunit ribosomal RNA", at positions 2319 to 2569 of the family's 2925-position model. Lineage: Bacteria; Pseudomonadati; Pseudomonadota; Gammaproteobacteria; Enterobacterales; Enterobacteriaceae. The record is from RNAcentral.